RNAcentral lists this transfer RNA (59 nucleotides) under Ramisyllis kingghidorahi. RNAcentral's name for it is "Ramisyllis sp. k GPS-2021 tRNA-Cys". Lineage: Eukaryota; Metazoa; Annelida; Polychaeta; Phyllodocida; Syllidae. The record is from RNAcentral.
AAAUAUGAUACAGCCCUGGAUCUGCAAAAUCCAAUAAAGCGAAAUACCGCCUCAUAUCU